GACGUAGGAUCCGAGCGUUGCCCGGAAUUACUGGGUGUAAAGGGCGUGUAGGCGGGUCUCUAAGUCGAUGGUGAAAUCCUGCAGCUCAACUGUAGAAUUGCCGUCGAUACUGGAGGUCUUGAGUGCGGCAGAGGGGGGCGGAAUUGAUGGUGUAGCGGUGAAAUGUGUAGAUAUCAUGAAGAACACCGGUGGCGAAGGCGGUCUCCUGGCCCGCUACUGACGCUGAGGCGCGAAAGCGUGGGGAGCAAACAGG
RNAcentral lists this ribosomal RNA (253 nucleotides) under uncultured bacterium. Its description in RNAcentral is "partial 16S ribosomal RNA". It matches the Rfam family "Bacterial small subunit ribosomal RNA", at positions 524 to 776 of the family's 1533-position model. The record is from RNAcentral.